RNAcentral lists this small RNA (97 nucleotides) under Aquimarina amphilecti. RNAcentral's name for it is "Flavo-1 RNA". It matches the Rfam family "Flavo-1 RNA". The record is from RNAcentral. Lineage: Bacteria; Pseudomonadati; Bacteroidota; Flavobacteriia; Flavobacteriales; Flavobacteriaceae.
UUUAAUGCGAAAGGGAUAGCAGCGACAUCCUUUUGUUUUAUCAUCACGAACUUGUAGAAGGAAAAAACAAAAGAUAUAGCGGAUAGCCCGACCACGA